Molecule: transfer RNA, 85 nt
Filed under: bacterium
Lineage: Bacteria
Description: tRNA-Tyr
Rfam family: tRNA
About the family: Transfer RNA (tRNA) molecules are approximately 80 nucleotides in length.
Source: RNAcentral
GGGCGGUUACCGAAGUGGUCAACCGGGGCAGACUGUAAAUCUGCUGGCUCCGCCUUCGAAGGUUCGAAUCCUUCACCGCCCACCA